Molecule: long non-coding RNA, 1152 nt
Organism: Coregonus clupeaformis (lake whitefish)
Lineage: Eukaryota; Metazoa; Chordata; Actinopteri; Salmoniformes; Salmonidae
Exons: 5
Source: RefSeq, a predicted model, not a curated record
ACUAUUAUUAAAGACACUCCUCUUCCUCUACAGACCAGUGCUGUGGACAUCUUCUCUGCUAGCUGUGUGUUUUACUAUGUGUUGACAGGAGGCAAACAUCCCUUUUGGGAACCCAAUCGUAGGGCUGGUAAUAUUGAGGAUGGCAAAUACAACCUCGACGGAUUACAGAAAGACAAACAUGAGGACAUCAUGGCCGAACACCUGAUAAAAUAUAUGGUGACUAAGGAGCCCAAGUGGAGGCCUUCUGCUGAGAGCGUGCUCGAACACCCCUUCUUCUGGAGCCUGGAGAAACAACUGCAGUUUUUCCAGGGUGUGAGUGACUGGAUUGAUGCAUAGUUACAGCUGAAGCAGUUGAACGACGCAAUCAUUGAUCAGCUGGAGUCAGAAGCAGAAAAAGUGGUCAAGGGGAACUGGAUGAAACACAUCAAUGAGGAUCUGCGAGAAAGUUAGUGUCUGAGGAUCAGUGUUUGAACACCAACAGACUAUCUAGAAAAACGCAAAGGAGCAUGUAAAGAGGGCUCCGUUGAACUAUUCUACGGGCCAUAAGAAACAAGAUCUCCAUAAGACGUUCGGCUCAUUCCCAGAAGGCUUUGUGUCCUACUUCACCUCCCGCUUCCCCCACCUGCUGCUGCACACCUACCGGGCCAUGCUCACCUGUGCUGAGGAGAUGGCCUUCCAGAAAUACUACCCCAAGUUGAGAGAGGCGUGGAUGGUCUAUGACACACAGACAGCCUAAGACCAAAAGGUCCUUUACACCAAUCUUUGAAGUGAUGACAACCAAGCCACCAGCCCAAAUAUUGUGUAUUUUUCUAGGCUUUGCUUUUAUUGUUGUUUUCGUAACAUGAACCUGCAGUGCACUGAAUCCAGAGACAUUCCUUCAAUGACAAUUCCAUAACUAGAUAGAGGCUGUCAGUUCACUGUACUGUCAGUGUACAAAAGUGAACUUAGCUUUUUUUUGUGUGUAUCUGUUUUUCUAUUACAUUGCUUAUGAAAUAUUAUUAUUUAUGCAUGAAGGUAUUCCUGAUCCUCUGUGGACCCUGACACUGUACCUUGUUUUGUUUAUGUAUGUGUAUAGGUGAUUUAAUGCUUUAUAGAUGAAGCCUGUACCAUGUUUGACUAUGAUGGCUUUUAGUGCCUCAACUAAAUUUGAGU